CGCGCGAGACGGAGAUUUGCUCGCGGAUGUUUGAUUUACGCGCGAGUUAUGAUUUUUAUUUUAUUUUUUUCUCCAGGGAAUAACCACGAUCCCCUGGUUAUAACAAAUAAACUGAUGGAAGUGUUUCCGAAGCUCCAACAAGGGGGAGGCUUUAAUGGAAAAUCUUGCAUUGCUUCAGUGUCCCAGCACUGGAUACACCCUUGCCUAUCUGAAAGAUCCAUCGACGAUGAUUGGACAGGCUACAAUCUACAUAAGUCCACUUCAACAGGAUCUACCCUUAGAUUGUGUACAUAAAUGAGAGCUCACGUCCUGCCUCUGGUCCAGUCAUCCCCUGCAUCACUUGUCAGAAGGAGGUUCCCUUUUCAGAGAUGAAGCUGCACAGAUUGAGCUGCAAUGGGAGGAAUGGGCCGAACACUGCCAUUUGAGGGUGAACCUGACCAUCUUGUUCCAGCAGCAUCAGAGGCACAUAUUGAAAGCAACCUCUUCCGGGUUGCACGAAGGAUGUUGGCCCACACCUUUCUGCAUGACGGUCCCCAUGUUACAGGAUUAAGUCCUGCUGUAAUUCAUGUACUGUUCAAUGGGGACCCUGAAAUGGCUACUGUUGUUGUUGAACACUGUCCUGAUCUGCACAUCAGGAGCAUCAUAGAACUGGUAUGUAACCUAGCCAUGUAAAAAGUAUUGCUUGGGCAGAUAUAAUAAAUGGUAUGGUCCUUAUUCUAGCCUGAACAUGAAGAACUUACACCAGAACAGAAAGACACAGUUUCAGAUCUUUCCAUGUCUUGGGAUCUUCCGGCAGUCACCAAAACAAAUCGGAGAUGGCUACAUAAUAAACUUCUACUCCAUGCAGUGAGUUCCUGCUGGUUAAGUGACAGAUUUCAUUGCUGUACUUGUUGAAAUUAUAGAAUGUAUUCUGAACCCUGGCUUGUUAAUGUUAACACGAGAGUUUAAGUACUAGAGUUUUAAUGGAUUUUAUGAGGCACUUUAUUGUGCUUUUAUUAACAUUUUUUCUACUGUGCGAACUUUUGUCAAAUUUGGGUUUUAAUAUGGGUCGGUGGGAGGACCAUGCGCCAAAUUAAACAGUUGAGAAAGGGACUGAAAGAUGUAAUGGUAUGGCCCCUGCUGACAUCUAGGCCAGAUGUUGUCCCACUUUUCCCCAAAAUGGCUGAAAUGCAGUUCACACCCCAGGUAAGUCAGUAAUUGAGUUACAUUUGUGACUUAACUUGAUGAAUUUUACGUCUAUUUUCAAUGACUGAGCUGGCUAUUUUUCCAUUUUCCAAGAAUGUGAUCUGCAUAGUCCUUCACCAAAAUAAGUUCUCCCUUUUUAAAAUUACAAUUUUUGUUUUCUUUAAGAUGCUCCUAGAAAAAAAAUCACAUGACCAGUUGAGGACAGUGACGAUGAAGACUUUGACACCACCUGCCGCAUCACUGGCUUUCUAAGGAUGUUCAUUGAAACAGCUUCAUCAGGUACCCUGGCCCAGCUGCUGACAUUCUGGGUUGGCUGGGAGAGGCUUCCUCCUGAACUGACAGUGGAGAUUUCUGAGGGAACCCUUCCUACGUCCUCCACAUGCUUU
Molecule: non-coding RNA, 1571 nt
Organism: Gasterosteus aculeatus aculeatus (three-spined stickleback)
Lineage: Eukaryota; Metazoa; Chordata; Actinopteri; Perciformes; Gasterosteidae
Source: RefSeq, a predicted model, not a curated record